GGGGGGGGGGGGGGGGGGGGGGGGGGCGGGGGGGGCGAGCGGGAGGGGCCGGCGGGGGGGGGGUGCUCGAGGGGGGAACGGGUGAGUAACACGGGCGUAACCGGCCCUUGACGUUGGGAUAGCUUCAGGAAACUGGGGCUCAUACCGGAGAGGAGCUCCUGCUGCGUGGUGUGGGUUGGAAAGUUUCGGCGGUUGGGGAUGGACUCGCGGCUUAUCAGCUUUGUGGUGGGGUAGUGGCUUACCAAGGCUUUGACGGGUAGCCGGCCUGAGAGGGUGACCGGCCACAUUGGGACUGAGAUACGGCCCAGACUCCUACGGGAGGCAGCAGUGGGGAAUAUUGCACAAUGGGCGGAAGCCUGAUGCAGCAACGCCGCGUGCGGGAUGACGGCCUUCGGGUUGUAAACCGCUUUCGCCUGUGACGAGGCGUGAGUGACGGUAAUGGGUAAAGAAGCACCGGCUAACUACGUG
This 468-nucleotide ribosomal RNA is filed under the name uncultured bacterium. RNAcentral describes it as "partial 16S ribosomal RNA". The stretch from base 48 to 468 matches the Rfam family "Bacterial small subunit ribosomal RNA", at positions 35 to 507 of the family's 1533-position model. The record is from RNAcentral.